This 63-nucleotide transfer RNA is filed under the name Scaptomyza crassifemur. RNAcentral describes it as "tRNA-Cys". The record is from RNAcentral. Lineage: Eukaryota; Metazoa; Arthropoda; Insecta; Diptera; Drosophilidae.
AAGCCUUAGUAAAUUUUUACUCCUUUAAAAUUGCAGUUUAAUAUCAUUAUUGACUAUAAGACC